RNAcentral lists this ribosomal RNA (225 nucleotides) under Triticum aestivum (bread wheat). RNAcentral describes it as "partial small subunit ribosomal RNA". Lineage: Eukaryota; Viridiplantae; Streptophyta; Magnoliopsida; Poales; Poaceae. The record is from RNAcentral.
AUGAAAAAAGCCAUUGAAUUAACUAAAAAAGCAGAUCUAAGGGGAGUAAAAGUAAAAAUUGUGGGUCGUCUCGGAGGAAAAGAAAUUGCACGCGCCGAAUCUAUUAAAAAGGGUAGACUUCCCCUCCAAACAAUUCGCGCUAAAAUUGAUUAUUGCUGCUAUCCAAUUCGGACUAUCUAUGGAGUAUUAGGUGUAAAAAUUUGGAUAUUCGUAGACGAAGAAUAA